RNAcentral lists this ribosomal RNA (700 nucleotides) under Curtobacterium oceanosedimentum. RNAcentral's name for it is "bacterial SSU rRNA". It matches the Rfam family "Bacterial small subunit ribosomal RNA", at positions 112 to 825 of the family's 1533-position model. The record is from RNAcentral. Lineage: Bacteria; Bacillati; Actinomycetota; Actinomycetes; Micrococcales; Microbacteriaceae.
AACACGUGAGUAACCUGCCCCUGACUCUGGGAUAAGCGUUGGAAACGACGUCUAAUACUGGAUAUGACUUCCGGCCGCAUGGUCUGGUUGUGGAAAGAUUUUUUGGUUGGGGAUGGACUCGCGGCCUAUCAGCUUGUUGGUGAGGUAAUGGCUCACCAAGGCGACGACGGGUAGCCGGCCUGAGAGGGUGACCGGCCACACUGGGACUGAGACACGGCCCAGACUCCUACGGGAGGCAGCAGUGGGGAAUAUUGCACAAUGGGCGAAAGCCUGAUGCAGCAACGCCGCGUGAGGGAUGACGGCCUUCGGGUUGUAAACCUCUUUUAGUAGGGAAGAAGCGAAAGUGACGGUACCUGCAGAAAAAGCACCGGCUAACUACGUGCCAGCAGCCGCGGUAAUACGUAGGGUGCAAGCGUUGUCCGGAAUUAUUGGGCGUAAAGAGCUCGUAGGCGGUUUGUCGCGUCUGCUGUGAAAUCCCGAGGCUCAACCUCGGGCUUGCAGUGGGUACGGGCAGACUAGAGUGCGGUAGGGGAGAUUGGAAUUCCUGGUGUAGCGGUGGAAUGCGCAGAUAUCAGGAGGAACACCGAUGGCGAAGGCAGAUCUCUGGGCCGUAACUGACGCUGAGGAGCGAAAGCAUGGGGAGCGAACAGGAUUAGAUACCCUGGUAGUCCAUGCCGUAAACGUUGGGCGCUAGAUGUAG